RNAcentral lists this non-coding RNA (164 nucleotides) under human gut metagenome. Its description in RNAcentral is "Lysine riboswitch". It matches the Rfam family "Lysine riboswitch aptamer". Rfam says of the family: Riboswitches are metabolite binding domains within certain messenger RNAs that serve as precision sensors for their corresponding targets. Allosteric rearrangement of mRNA structure is mediated by ligand binding, and this results in modulation of gene expression. This family includes riboswitches that sense lysine in a number of genes involved in lysine metabolism, including lysC. The record is from RNAcentral.
GAAUAGAGGCGCGGCAAACAUCAGUACCGGGAAGCAAUGCCAGACAGCAGCUUUGCGGGAAAGGGGAUGCCGCCGAAGGGUUUUGGGUGUGUCUGCACCGGAAAUGCCUGGUUCGGCAGAGAAGAUCUGACGAACUGCCGCGGAUUUCCCGCGGAGAGCUAUGA